RNAcentral lists this ribosomal RNA (511 nucleotides) under uncultured soil bacterium. Its description in RNAcentral is "bacterial SSU rRNA". It matches the Rfam family "Bacterial small subunit ribosomal RNA", at positions 26 to 518 of the family's 1533-position model. The record is from RNAcentral.
AGAUUGAACGCUGGCGGCAGGCCUAACACAUGCAAGUCGAGCGGCAGCACGGGUACUUGUACCUGGUGGCGAGCGGCGGACGGGUGAGUAAUGCCUAGGAAUCUGCCUGAUAGUGGGGGAUAACGUUCGGAAACGGACGCUAAUACCGCAUACGUCCUACGGGAGAAAGUGGGGGAUCUUCGGACCUCACGCUAUCAGAUGAGCCUAGGUCGGAUUAGCUAGUUGGUAGGGUAAAGGCCUACCAAGGCUACGAUCCGUAACUGGUCUGAGAGGAUGAUCAGUCACACUGGAACUGAGACACGGUCCAGACUCCUACGGGAGGCAGCAGUGGGGAAUAUUGGACAAUGGGCGAAAGCCUGAUCCAGCCAUGCCGCGUGUGUGAAGUAAGGUCUUCGGAUUGUAAAGCUAACUUUAAGUUGGGAGGAAGGGACUAAUUAACCUAAUAACGUUUAGUGUUUUAGACGUUACCGACGAGAAAUAAGACACCGGCUAACUCUGUACCAGCAGCCGA